AAAGAUGGAAGGACCCCAUGGAUGCAACCUGAAAGGAAAAAAAAGAAAUAAGAAAGGUAGACUUGAGAAACAGCCGCAAUUCAUGGGUAGGUGCAUUAUAUAGAAAUACAUCUCUCAACUGACCCAGAUUUGUAGGAGUGGAGAUAAUGGCCCUAAAAGAAGGAGAUAACCACCAGAUAAGUGGAGAUCAUGGGGCAAAAAAAUUGGAGCAAAACCACCAACUGCAUAACUGCAAAUAACUGCUCUGAACCGCCAUAGGAGCGGUUAUUUUUAUGAGUUUACACGGCCCAGAUUUAAUCUUAGCAUAAUCCAACGGAUGAUAUUGAUUUCAAAGGUAACUUUCACUUAAUGGGUUCCAUAUAUAUAUA
This 368-nucleotide long non-coding RNA is filed under the name Helianthus annuus (common sunflower). Its description in RNAcentral is "hypothetical non coding rna". Lineage: Eukaryota; Viridiplantae; Streptophyta; Magnoliopsida; Asterales; Asteraceae. The record is from RNAcentral.